CUCGAUCCCAGGACCCGGGGACCACACCCUGAGCCAAAGGCAGAUGCUCAACCACUGAGCCCCCCAGGCGUCCCAUCACAUAAUAAAAUCUUUUUUAAAAGGCCAUCUAUUUAAAUAACCUACCUAUGUUAUUAUUUCUUAAUUUAUAUAGUUCAGGCAUUUUCAAAUGAUCUCAUCCCGUGGUAGAUAUGGAUUUAACACAUUUCCAGAACCCCUGUGUUCCUUCCCUCUUAGUUUCUUUGUACACAUAUUACUAGUUUUAGUUCUAAAGUUGGUAAUUGUUGUAUCCUUAAGCAAUAUACUUACACUUUCUAUUUCUUAUUCCAUCAAGGACAGAUGGUGUCUCUUCACUCUCAGCUUGAAAAAUGAAGAUAUUAACAUCUCUACCCUCCUGAUUCAUUCUUUGAUUCUGUGAGACAAGGACCCUGCAAUCCUGUAACAAAAAUAGAUACACUGGACUUCACCAAAAUUAAAAUCUGUGCAUCAAAGGACACUGUCAGCAGAAUGAGGACAAUCUACAAAAUGGGAGAAAAUGUUUGCUAAUUAUGCAUCAGAUAAGGGGUUGAUAUCUAGACUUUAUGAAGAACUGUAACUCAACAGCAAAGAACCCAGUUCCAAAAUGGGCUCGAGGAGACAUUUCCACAAAGACCUACUGAUGGCCAAAAAACACAUGAAAAGAUGCUCAAUAUCACUAAUCAUUAGGGAAAUACAAAACUGCAAUAAGACACCAUCUCUCAUUGGGAUGGCUACAAUUAAAAAACAAACAGAAGAGAGCGAGUGUUGGUGAGAUUGUGGAAAAAUUGGAAACCUUGUGCACUGUUGGUUGGGAACAUAAACUGAUGCCGCUGCUAUGGAAAGUAGUAUGGUGGUUCCUCAAAAAGUUAAGCAUAGAAUUACCAUGUGAACCAGCAGGGCACUUCUAUGUAUAUGCCCCAAAGAAUUUUAAUUCAGGUUCUCAAAAAGAUAUUUGUGUACCCAUGUUCAUGGAACAUUAUUCAUAAUAGUUAAAAGAUGGAAGCAAUGCAAGGGUCCAUUGACGAAUGAAUGGGUGAACAGAAUGUGGUAUGUAUAUACAAUGGGAAUAUAUUUCGCCGUAAAAGGAAGGGAGCUCUGACACAUGCUACAAUAUGGAUGAACCUUGAAGACAUUAUGCUCAGUGAAAUAAGUCAGUGACAAAAAGAUAACUACAGUAUGAUUUCACUUACAAAAGACACUUAGAUGUUUUGGACUGAAUUGUGUCCCCCUUAAACUCCUGUGUUGAAGUGUAGCCCCCAGUGUGACCACAUGUGGAGAUAGGUUCUUUACAGAGAAAGUCAAGGUUAAAUGAGGUCCUAUUGGUGGGGUCCUGAUCCAGUAUGACUCGCGUCCUUACAAGAAUGAGAGACACCAGGGAUGCAUGCAUGCAGAGGAAAGACCCUAUAAGGAUAUAGCGAAAAGGCAGUCACCCUCAAGCCAAGAGAGAGACCUCAGGAGAGACCGGCGCUGCCAACACCUGGAUCGUGGAUUCGUAGCCUUCAGAACAAUGAGAGGAUACGUUUCUAUUGGUUAAGCCCCCCUGCCUGGAGUAAUUUGUUAUCGCAGCCUUAGCAGACUGAUACACUAGAGUAGUCGAAUUUAUAGAGACCGAAAGUAGAUUGGUGGUUUUCAGGGGUGAGGGGAGAAGGGCACGGGAGCUUUCAGUGGGCAUAAAGUCUAAGUUUUGCAAGAUGAGAAGAAUUCUGGAGAUGGAUUGCACAACAGUGUAAAUGUACUUUACAUCAUAGAAUUGUACAUUUAAAGAUGGUUAAGAUGGUAAAUUUUAUGUAUAUGGUACCAUAAUGAAAACAAAACACCUCCCUUGAUGCUGCAAAUCCCUCCCACCGUGGUGCGGUUCUUCUGCUCCGCUUUAGAGCAAAACUCCCGGAGAGAGAGAGUCGUUUAUAUUUGCUGUCUCUACUUCUUCAUGUCUCAUGUUUUUCUUAAACCCAUUCCAAUCAGGAUUUUCUGAAAUUGCUAUGUUCUGAGUCACUGCCACAAUUCCAGCCCAUUGGCAUUUUUUUUUGGCGGGUGGGGAUCCCUUGCUCUUCAAAAUACCUGUCCCCUUGUCUUCCUGGUUUUCCUCUUGCUUCUGCCUCAUUGGAUCUAGUUGGCUCCUCCUCCUGACUCUGUGAGGUACCCCAGGGCUCUGCCCCAGGCUUUGUAUGCUCACCCCCUGCCAGCUACACUGGUGAGUCUCAAAUCCCAUCUCUAGCCCCACCUUCCUUUGGAACUUCAUGCUGGGACAUCCACCUGCCCACUCAGCUUUGUCAUGAGGAUGUCCAACAAACAGGCAUCCAAAGUCAACAUGGGCAAAGCAAAUCCUUGACUUCUUCAGACUCUACUGCCUCCGUUGUUGGCUCUCUCAGUAAAUGGCACCACCUUGCAACCAGGUUAAAAAAAAAAAAACAAAAAGGCACCCCCAUAAUUGCACAG
Long non-coding RNA from Canis lupus familiaris (dog), 2451 nucleotides. RefSeq lists it as uncharacterized. NCBI's taxonomy places the organism in Eukaryota, Metazoa, Chordata, Mammalia, Carnivora, Canidae. The transcript is spliced from 2 exons. The record is from RefSeq and is a predicted model, not a curated record.